UUAGCUCAACUUUGUAUGGAGUUGGAACGCUAACCUACGUUUUCCGCUAGGGGCGCUGUUCCAACUGCAUACAAAUUUGAGCUA
Bombyx mori (domestic silkworm) is the source of this 84-nucleotide non-coding RNA. The record is from Rfam. Lineage: Eukaryota; Metazoa; Arthropoda; Insecta; Lepidoptera; Bombycidae.